CCUACGGGAGGCAGCAGUGGGGAAUUUUGGACAAUGGGCGCAAGCCUGAUCCAGCAAUGCCGCGUGAGUGAAGAAGGCCUUCGGGUUGUAAAGCUCUUUUGUCAGGGAAGAAACGGCUGAGGUUAAUACCUUUGGCUAAUGACGGUACCUGAAGAAUAAGCACCGGCUAACUACGUGCCAGCAGCCGCGGUAAUACGUAGGGUGCAAGCGUUAAUCGGAAUUACUGGGCGUAAAGCGUGCGCAGGCGGUUUUGUAAGUCUGUCGUGAAAGCCCCGGGCUCAACCUGGGAAUUGCGAUGGAGACUGCAAGGCUUGAAUCUGGCAGAGGGGGGUAGAAUUCCACGUGUAGCAGUGAAAUGCGUAGAGAUGUGGAGGAACACCGAUGGCGAAGGCAGCCCCCUGGGUCAAGAUUGACGCUCAUGCACGAAAGCGUGGGGAGCAAACAGGAUUAGAUACCCUGGUAGUCCACGCCCUAAACGAUGUCUACUAGUUGUCGGGUUUUAAUUAACUUGGUAACGCAGCUAGCGCGUGAAGUAGACCGCCUGGGGGUACGUCGCAAGNUUAAACUUAGAAUUGAGUUGNGNGNGNGNGAGCGACGAGAGAGAGG
RNAcentral lists this ribosomal RNA (606 nucleotides) under uncultured bacterium. RNAcentral's name for it is "bacterial SSU rRNA". It matches the Rfam family "Bacterial small subunit ribosomal RNA", at positions 338 to 943 of the family's 1533-position model. The record is from RNAcentral.